RNAcentral lists this ribosomal RNA (253 nucleotides) under uncultured bacterium. Its description in RNAcentral is "partial 16S ribosomal RNA". It matches the Rfam family "Bacterial small subunit ribosomal RNA", at positions 524 to 776 of the family's 1533-position model. The record is from RNAcentral.
UACGUAGGGGGCGAGCGUUGUCCGGAUUUAUUGGGCGUAAAGAGCGUGUAGGCGGCCAGGUAGGUCUGCUGUGAAAACUCGAGGCUCAACCUCGAGACGUCGGCGGAAACCAUCUGGCUAGAGUCCGGAAGAGGAGAGUGGAAUUCCUGGUGUAGCGGUGAAAUGCGCAGAUAUCAGGAGGAACACCAAUUGCGAAGGCAGCUCGCUGGGACGUGACUGACGCUGAGACGCGAAAGCGUGGGGAGCAAACAGG